This 1330-nucleotide long non-coding RNA is filed under the name Homo sapiens (human). Its description in RNAcentral is "HSALNT0022975". Lineage: Eukaryota; Metazoa; Chordata; Mammalia; Primates; Hominidae. The record is from RNAcentral.
AAAACCUCAGUUCCCAGGCAGCUUCCAGAAGCUGUGGCAUUGCUGUGGCCUGAGGCCUGGACUUUCCCAGGGGAUAGGUAUCCAGAUCGUUUGUGCCCUUCCAUAUCACCUUUCAUUCAGAGGCCUUACCUGGAUUGGUAGCCAAGCAUUGAUACUCAUGCCUCCCCAAAGAGAGCUCGUGGCACAGAGGAAAAUGGACAUAAGGUAGCGGUAACAGGCUGGCGACUGUGGCUUUUACACAUUGCUUCACACAACCCUGUCCAGGAGUUUUACACACUCACUAAACAAACAGAAGACACCAUCCAAUUCACUGGAGCCCCGUUGGAUAAAUACGGAAAGAAUGUGGGAGCUAUGUCAUGAACCACAAUGGUUUUGUGUUCUGUGUAAUUUGAAGACGAGAUUCCUUUGCUGUGUGUCACCUCCCAUAUUACCACUGUCGCCCAACAUUUCAUAACCAUCAACUCUUUGCCAGUGCCCACAUGCAAAGAUGGGUUUGUAUUAAAAAAUAAAUGAGAACAGCACAUUCUGAUGUGGUGUAGUAUAUCAGCAUUUUCCAUGAAACCUCGUCUCCGGCCUUCCCCUUUUAGGAAACAAAGGACCCGUGACAGAGCCUACUUAUCCCGUUACAGCUCCUGGUGAGAAGGGCGAAGCCAUGUCAGAAAUAAUAGAAAAGGCUUUUUCCUUUGAAAUAUCUAAACGUUCAAAGAUGGGAACAGCCGCAGGGGGGAGAAUACUGUGCUAUGCAAGUUGAUCUGAUUUUGUGGACCAUCCAUUUCCAAUUGGGAAGCUCACUUACUUUCAACUUGAAGCAUCAGAAAACCAGACUUACAGCAGCUUCAGCCUAUAGGGGUUUAUUUUUCUCAUGUAACAAGAAGAACAGAAGUGGACAGAGGCCGAGUUCUCAAGGACUCAGUUUCUUUCUGUCCCACCAACCUUACCAUGUUGGAUUGUCAUCUUUGUGCUUGUUGCCUCAUGAUGGCAAGAUGGCUGCAGCACCUCUGGGACUCACGACUGAUUUUUAAGCUCAAUCAUCCGGCCUUGUGAGAGACGCCCACAUGCUGAAGAGCCUUUCUGCAGUUCUGCAUUGAACUCUUCAUGUGGCCCCAUCUAGUAAUGAGUGCGAGUGGAGAUGCCAAGGAGGGCAACGCAGAUGCAUCCGAGAUGCCAAAGAAAGGCUUUCACACACAAAGUGACUCCCUGCCCUUGGAUGUGUUUGCAUCCUCACAUCCUUCUCAUCCCUACGUUCCUACUACUGCAGUCACACCAGCUCCUAGGCUCUGCCUUGGACAGAACCCAGUUUCCUGGAAGGAACAAGUUCUCUGCAGUCGGC